GACAGAGGGUGCAAGCGUUAAUCGGAAUUACUGGGCGUAAAGCGCAGGUAGGUGGGACAAUUAGUCAGUUGUGAAAGGCCAGGGCUUAACCUUGGGAUUGCGAUUGAAACGGUUGUUCUAGAGGUCAGUAGAGGUGAGUGGAAUUUCCGAAGUAGCGGUGAAAUGCGUAGAGAUCGGAAGGAACACCAGUGGCGAAGGCGACUCACUGGACUGAACCUGACACUGAGCUGCGAAAGCGUGGGGAGCAAACAGG
This 253-nucleotide ribosomal RNA is filed under the name uncultured bacterium. RNAcentral describes it as "partial 16S ribosomal RNA". It matches the Rfam family "Bacterial small subunit ribosomal RNA", at positions 524 to 776 of the family's 1533-position model. The record is from RNAcentral.